UAUUUAAAAGUCCAUUGGAGAUUAUGGGGUCGUGUGACAAGCGGUCGGGCGUGUUGCUUUUGGUCUUCACGGCCAGGGCGCCGCCCGUCGCCCCCGGAAAAGAUUUCUGUGCGUCGGCGUCGUAUGCGAGACUUCGGUCCCGUAUCGUCCCGCGUACGCCUUUUUCGGCUCGCGGCAUCCAGGAAUGAAGGAGGGUAGUCCGGGGGAGAACGUAUUGGUGCGUCAGAGGUGAAAUUCUUGGACCGCACCAGGACGGACUACAGCGAAGGCAUUCUUCAAGAAUACCUUCCUCAAUCAAGAACCAAAGUGUGGGGAUCGAAGAU
This 323-nucleotide ribosomal RNA is filed under the name Trypanosoma copemani. RNAcentral describes it as "SSU rRNA". It matches the Rfam family "Eukaryotic small subunit ribosomal RNA", at positions 816 to 1005 of the family's 1831-position model. The record is from RNAcentral. Lineage: Eukaryota; Euglenozoa; Kinetoplastea; Trypanosomatida; Trypanosomatidae.